CAGUCGCACGAGAAGCGGAGCAAUCCGUGAGUAAAGUGGCGCACGGGUGAGUAACACGUGAAUAAUCUACCUCCGAGUGGGGAAUAACUGAGAGAAAUCUUAGCUAAUACCGCAUAGCACUUACGAGUCAAAGCAGCAAUGCGCUUGGAGAGGAGUUCGCGGCCGAUUAGUUAGUUGGCGGGGUAAUGGCCCACCAAGACGAUGAUCGGUAUCCGGCCUGAGAGGGCGCACGGACACACUGGAACUGAAACACGGUCCAGACUCCUACGGGAGGCAGCAGUGGGGAAUUUUGCGCAAUGGGGGAAACCCUGACGCAGCAACGCCGCGUGGAGGAUGAAAUAUCUUGGUAUGUAAACUCCUUUCGAUGGGGAAGAUAAUGACGGUACCCAUAGAAGAAGCCCCGGCUAACUUCGUGCCAGCAGCCGCGGUAAUACGAGGGGGGCAAGCGUUGUUCGGAUUUAUUGGGCGUAAAGGGUGCGUAGGCGGUUUGACAAGUCUUAUGUGAAAUCUAUGGGCUCAACCCAUAGUCUGCAUGAGAAACUGUCGGGCUUGAGUAUGGGAGAGGUGAGUGGAAUUUCCGGUGUAGCGGUGAAAUGCGUAGAUAUCGGAAGGAACACCUGUGGCGAAAGCGGCUCACUGGACCAUAACUGACGCUGAUGCACGAAAGCUAGGGGAGCAAACAGGAUUAGAUACCCUGGUAGUCCUAAGCCUUAACCGAUGAUUGUUGAAUGUGCAGGUACCAAUUCCUGCUUGUCAAAGCUAACGCGAUAA
This 771-nucleotide ribosomal RNA is filed under the name uncultured Acidobacterium sp. RNAcentral describes it as "bacterial SSU rRNA". It matches the Rfam family "Bacterial small subunit ribosomal RNA", at positions 59 to 863 of the family's 1533-position model. Lineage: Bacteria; Pseudomonadati; Acidobacteriota; Terriglobia; Terriglobales; Acidobacteriaceae. The record is from RNAcentral.